CUGAGGGACAGUGAACUGGCCCCCUGUUUAAAAAGUUUGAGAGGGCCUGACUCUGCCACAUAUAUUCUAUAGGAGCUGGGAAAGGCUUGAUGACAAAGAGAUUUCUCUCUAGCCUUUCCCGCAUCAGAGAUUGGCUCCCACAUGG
RNAcentral lists this small nucleolar RNA (145 nucleotides) under Myotis brandtii (Brandt's bat). RNAcentral's name for it is "Small nucleolar RNA SNORA12". It matches the Rfam family "Small nucleolar RNA SNORA12". From Rfam's summary of the family: U108 belongs to the H/ACA family of snoRNAs. Lineage: Eukaryota; Metazoa; Chordata; Mammalia; Chiroptera; Vespertilionidae. The record is from Rfam by way of RNAcentral.